Molecule: ribosomal RNA, 465 nt
Filed under: uncultured Klebsiella sp.
Lineage: Bacteria; Pseudomonadati; Pseudomonadota; Gammaproteobacteria; Enterobacterales; Enterobacteriaceae
Description: bacterial SSU rRNA
Rfam family: Bacterial small subunit ribosomal RNA
Source: RNAcentral
CCUACGGGUGGCAGCAGUGGGGAAUAUUGCACAAUGGGCGCAGGCCUGAUGCAGCCAUGCCGCGUGUGUGAAGAAGGCCUUCGGGUUGUAAAGCACUUUCAGCGGGGAGGAAGGCGGUGAGGUUAAUAACCUCAUCGAUUGACGUUACCCGCAGAAGAAGCACCGGCCAACUCCGUGCCAGCAGCCGCGGUAAUACGGAGGGUGCAAGCGUUAAUCGGAAUUACUGGGCGUAAAGCGCACGCAGGCGGUCUGUCAAGUCGGAUGUGAAAUCCCCGGGCUCAACCUGGGAACUGCAUUCGAAACUGGCAGGCUAGAGUCUUGUAGAGGGGGGUAGAAUUCCAGGUGUAGCGGUGAAAUGCGUAGAGAUCUGGAGGAAUACCGGUGGCGAAGGCGGCCCCCUGGACAAAGACUGACGCUCAGGUGCGAAAGCGUGGGGAGCAAACAGGAUUAGAUACCCUAGUAGUC